UGCUGCCUCCCGUAUGUAGUCUGGGCCGUGUCUCAGUCCCAGUGUGGCUGGUCGUCCUCUCAGACCAGCUACAGAUCGUCGCCUUGGUAGGCCUUUACCCCGCCAACUAGCUAAUCUGCCAUCGGCCGCUCCAAUAGCGCGAGGUCCGAAGAUCCCCCGCUUUCACCCUCAGGUCGUAUGCGGUAUUAAUCCGGCUUUCGCCGAGCUAUCCCCCACUACUGGGCACGUUCCGAUGUAUUACUCACCCGUUCGCCACUCGCCGCCAGGCCGAAGCCCGCGCUGCCGUUCGACUUGCAUGUGUAAAGCAUGCCGCCAGCGUUCAAUCUGAGCCAGGAUAAACUCUAAUCGAAUUCCCG
This 356-nucleotide ribosomal RNA is filed under the name uncultured Lautropia sp. Its description in RNAcentral is "partial 16S ribosomal RNA". The record is from RNAcentral. Lineage: Bacteria; Pseudomonadati; Pseudomonadota; Betaproteobacteria; Burkholderiales; Burkholderiaceae.